GUGUCAGCCGCCGCGGUAAUACGUAGGGUGCAAGCGUUACUCGGAAUUACUGGGCGUAAAGCGUGCGUAGGUGGUUGUUUAAGUCUGUUGUGAAAGCCCUGGGCUCAACCUGGUAAUUGCAGUGGAUACUGGGCGACUAGAGUGUGGUAGGGGGUAGUGGAAUUCCCGGUGUAGCAGUGAAAUGCGUAGAGAUCGUGAGGAACAUCCAUGGCGAAGGCAGCUACCUGGACCAACACUGACACUUAGGCACGAAAGCGUGGGGAGCAAACAGGAUUAGAUACCCGCGUAGUCC
RNAcentral lists this ribosomal RNA (292 nucleotides) under uncultured bacterium. Its description in RNAcentral is "partial 16S ribosomal RNA". It matches the Rfam family "Bacterial small subunit ribosomal RNA", at positions 505 to 796 of the family's 1533-position model. The record is from RNAcentral.